This 381-nucleotide unclassified non-coding RNA is filed under the name uncultured bacterium. RNAcentral's name for it is "contains 16S-23S intergenic spacer region". The record is from RNAcentral.
UCCGAUUUGUCACCGGCAGUCUCCUAUGAGUCCCCGUCAUUACACGCUGGCAACAUAGGACAGGGGUUGCGCUCGUUGCGGGACUUAACCCAACAUCUCACGACACGAGCUGACGACGGCCAUGCACCACCUGUGUUCAGGCUCCCUUUCGGGCACACCCCCAUCUCUGGAGGCUUCCGUACAUGUCAAGGGUAGGUAAGGUUAUUCGCGUUGCAUCGAAUUAAUCCACAUCAUCCACCGCUUGUGCGGGUCCCCGUCAAUUCCUUUGAGUUUUAGCCUUGCGGCCGUACUCCCCAGGCGGGACACUUAAUGCGUUAGCUGCGGCACGGGAGGAGUCGACACCUCCCACACCUAGUGUCCAUCGUUUACGGCGUGGACUAC